GACGAACGCUGGCGGCGUGCUUAACACAUGCAAGUCGAGCGAUGAAGCUCCUUCGGGAGUGGAUUAGCGGCGGACGGGUGAGUAACACGUGGGCAACCUGCCUUAUAGAGAGGAAUAGCCAUCCGAAAGGAUGAUAAAUACCCCAUAAUAUUUUAGUUUCGCAUGGAGCAACAAUCAAAGGAGCAACCCACUAUAAGAUGGGCGCGCGGCGCAUUAGCUAGUUGGUGGGGUAACGGCCCACCAAGGCGACGAUGCGUAGCCGACCUGCGAGGGUGAUCGGCCACAUUGGGACUGAGACACGGCCCAGACUCCUACGGGAGGCAGCAGUGGGAAAUAUUGCACAAUGGGGGAAACCCUGAUGCAGCAACGCCGCGUGAGUGAUGACGGCCUUCGGGUUGUAAAGCUCUGUCUUCAGGGACGAUAAUGACGGUACCUGAGGAGGAAGCCACGGCUAACUACGUGCCAGCCGCCGCCGUAA
Molecule: ribosomal RNA, 478 nt
Filed under: uncultured bacterium
Lineage: Bacteria
Description: partial 16S ribosomal RNA
Rfam family: Bacterial small subunit ribosomal RNA
Source: RNAcentral